Xiphophorus hellerii (green swordtail) is the source of this 522-nucleotide long non-coding RNA. RefSeq lists it as uncharacterized. The transcript is spliced from 3 exons. The record is from RefSeq and is a predicted model, not a curated record. Lineage: Eukaryota; Metazoa; Chordata; Actinopteri; Cyprinodontiformes; Poeciliidae.
CAAAUGUAGUUUAAAAAUAAUUCAAAUUUGUCCCGUAGAUGCAGAUGGAGAGUUUUAAUUUGUAAUCAGGGUAAAAAUUGUUACCAAUAUAAUUGUCUUACACAGGAAAAUGUAAAGUAGAACAAAAGUAUUAAUGCUUUUAUAACCAAGUUUUAACAAAAGUUCAAACUUGGAGAGACUUUUACUGAAAAGGCAACUUUGCUGCACCUAAAUCAACUUUUGUUUUUCGUUAAACUUGGCUAAAUAUAGCAAACAUUUACAAGCCAAAUUCUGUCCUUACUGAAAAUAAAUUUAAUAAAAAAACCUGAAAACUAGAAUUCUUUCUUUUAAUUCGGCAAACAUGCUAAAUCUACUGCAGCGUAUUUGGGCCAAAAAAAAGAAGUAAAUUCCUGCCAAAAAACUCAGAAAUUGAGCGUAAUCUCAUAACUUUUCUAGAAAAGAAACAAGGAAAUUCGAUAGUAUAAAAGUCAAAUUUUUAGAUUAAUAUCAGAAAUUAGUAUUAUAAAAGCAAACUUGUAAGUU